UACCAGCUCUCCGAGUGGUAGGGAUGAUUAUUGGGCUUAAAGCGUCCGUAGCCGGCUUAGCAAGUCUCCUGUUAAACUCAGCGACCUAAUCGUUGAAUCGCGGGAGAUACUACUAGGCUAGGAGGCGGGAGAGGUCGACGGUACUUCUGGGGUAGGGGUGAAAUCCUGUAAUCCCGGGAGGACCACCAGUGGCGAAGGCUGUCGACUAGAACGCGCUCGACGGUGAGGGACGAAAGCUGGGGUAGCGAACCGGAUUGGAUACCCGGGUAGUCCCAGCUGUAAACGAUGCGGGCUAGGUGUUGGGAUGGCUACGGGCCAUUUCAGUGCCGCAGGGAAGCCAUUAAGCCCGCCGCCUGGGGAGUACGGCCGCAAGGCUGAAACUUAAAGGAAUUGGCGGGGAGCACCACAAGGCGUGAAGCUUGCGGUUC
This 428-nucleotide ribosomal RNA is filed under the name uncultured archaeon. RNAcentral's name for it is "bacterial SSU rRNA". It matches the Rfam family "Archaeal small subunit ribosomal RNA", at positions 474 to 903 of the family's 1478-position model. The record is from RNAcentral.